AACGAACGCUGGCGGCAUGCCUAACACAUGCAAGUCGAACGAGACCUUCGGGUCUAGUGGCGCACGGGUGCGUAACGCGUGGGAACCUGCCCUUAGGUUCGGAAUACCUCCCCGAAAGGGGUGCUAAUACAGGAUAAUGUCUUCGGACCAUAGAUUUAUCGCCUUUGGAUGGGCCCGAGUUGGUUUAGCUUGUUGGUAGGGUAAAAGCCUACCAAGGCGACGAUCGAUAGCUGGUCGGAGAGGCUGAUCAGCCACACUGGGACGGAGACACGGCCCAGACUCCUGCGGGAGGCAGCAGUGGGGAAUAUUGGACAAUGGGCGAAAGCCUGAUCCAGCAAUGCCGCGUGAGUGAUGAAGGCCUGAGGGUUGUAAAGCACUUUUGCCCGGGAUGAUAAUGACAGUACCGAGAGAAUAAGCUCCGGCUAACUCCGUG
RNAcentral lists this ribosomal RNA (433 nucleotides) under uncultured bacterium. Its description in RNAcentral is "partial 16S ribosomal RNA". It matches the Rfam family "Bacterial small subunit ribosomal RNA", at positions 29 to 507 of the family's 1533-position model. The record is from RNAcentral.